GCACUGCUGACGAGACCCAAAUAGGACGAAACAGCUGUCAAGUGC
Molecule: non-coding RNA, 45 nt
Filed under: Echinostoma caproni
Lineage: Eukaryota; Metazoa; Platyhelminthes; Trematoda; Plagiorchiida; Echinostomatidae
Source: RNAcentral